This 700-nucleotide ribosomal RNA is filed under the name uncultured bacterium. RNAcentral describes it as "bacterial SSU rRNA". It matches the Rfam family "Bacterial small subunit ribosomal RNA", at positions 94 to 792 of the family's 1533-position model. The record is from RNAcentral.
AGUGGCGCACGGGUGCGUAACGCGUAUGCAAUCUACCGCUGACUGGGGAAUAGCCCUCCGAAAGGAGGAUUAAUACCGCAUAACACUGCGAAGUGGCAUCACUUUGCAGUCAAAACUCUGGUGGUCAGCGAUGAGCAUGCGUCCGAUUAGCUAGUUGGUGAGGUAACGGCUCACCAAGGCUACGAUCGGUAGGGGGUCUGAGAGGAUGAUCCCCCACACUGGUACUGAGACACGGACCAGACUCCUACGGGAGGCAGCAGUAAGGAAUAUUGGACAAUGGGCGCAAGCCUGAUCCAGCCAUGCCGCGUGAAGGAUGAAUGCCCUAUGGGUUGUAAACUUCUUUUAGCAGGGAAAAAACCCCUCGAUGCGUCGAGGGCUGAUGGUACCUGCGGAAUAAGGAUCGGCUAACUCCGUGCCAGCAGCCGCGGUAAUACGGAGGAUCCAAGCGUUAUCCGGAUUUAUUGGGUUUAAAGGGUGUGUAGGCGGAUAAAUAAGUCAGUGGUGAAAGCCUGCAGCUCAACUGCAGAACUGCCAUUGAUACUGUUUAUCUUGAAUAUGGUUGAGGUGGGCGGAAUAUGACAUGUAGUGGUGAAAUACUUAGAUAUGUCAUAGAACACCGAUUGCGAAGGCAGCUCACUAAGCCAUCAUUGACGCUGAGGCACGAAAGCGUGGGGAGCAAACAGGAUUAGAUACCCUGGUA